AGGCGAGGGAGGUGCCCGAGACGUCCAUGGCGGAGAGGCCUGCAGGGUUUCUGUCGCCAGUCAGCCCUCUGAUGGAGAGAGUGGUGGAUCACGAGUGCUGAAGGCUGGACGCCGCCGACUAGUUUGAGGAUCCCUAAGGGGAUUUCUAAAGCUCCCAGCCUUCCAAAAGAUGGAGCUGCAGCUAUGUCAAUGCAUCAGGGGAACACCAUGCAAGCAGAUUUCUACACAAACUCCGAUGGGGUGUUAGCUUCAGAACUAGCUGGAAUCAAUUCACCUUGAUCAGUAUACUCGACGUAGGUACCGAUGUACUGAUGUUGUUGUUCUACAAAACGGAAGGCACUGUCACAAUCUCAUUCUAUGUGUUGUAGGCAGGAAGUUUGGUGGUCGUGGUUGCCCGUUUAUUCCCUGUUUUUUUUGGAAGUUGCCAUCUGUGUUUGUGCAUGGGAAUCACAUCUGAAGACACUGUGUUUACGGUUUCUCUUUUCCAGCUUUUGUAUCAAACUUGUAGUAUUCUGGGUUUGUUCAAUGCAAUGAACACAAUGGACUAAAUUUGAA
Lolium rigidum is the source of this 555-nucleotide long non-coding RNA. RefSeq lists it as uncharacterized. The transcript is spliced from 2 exons. The record is from RefSeq and is a predicted model, not a curated record. Lineage: Eukaryota; Viridiplantae; Streptophyta; Magnoliopsida; Poales; Poaceae.